UACGAAGGGGGCUAGCGUUGCUCGGAAUCACUGGGCGUAAAGCGCACGUAGGCGGGUUCUUAAGUCAGGGAUGAAAUCCUGGAGCUCAACUCCAGAACUGCCUUUGAUACUGGGAAUCUCGAGUCCGGGAGAGGUGAGUGGAACUGCGAGUGUAGAGGUGAAAUUCGUAGAUAUUCGCAAGAACACCAGUGGCGAAGGCGGCUCACUGGCCCGGUACUGACGCUGAGGUGCGAAAGCGUGGGGAGCAAACAGG
RNAcentral lists this ribosomal RNA (253 nucleotides) under uncultured bacterium. RNAcentral's name for it is "partial 16S ribosomal RNA". It matches the Rfam family "Bacterial small subunit ribosomal RNA", at positions 524 to 776 of the family's 1533-position model. The record is from RNAcentral.